Molecule: long non-coding RNA, 192 nt
Organism: Topomyia yanbarensis
Lineage: Eukaryota; Metazoa; Arthropoda; Insecta; Diptera; Culicidae
Exons: 3
Source: RefSeq, a predicted model, not a curated record
GCAUGGUACAUAUUUUUUUCCUGAUACAUACUUACAACGGUCAUAACAUACAGGCCAGUUGGGGUGCUAGUGCUACAAUUGUACUGACGUAAAGGAUGAUCUCUGCAACAACCCUGAAAUGUUGAAAGUUGUAUGGCAACUGAUUCUGUAAGUUUUAGAACGGUUUUAUUAUAAAUAAAAAUUAAACCCUUG